GCUGAGAAACUUUGUGGCUCUCAUUUUAAUAUGGAACCGAACUGUCUACAGCAGCACUGAAGAUGAUGCUGGUUGGUUUCGCAUUCCAAUUGAUAAGGUGGGCGAAAGCCUCUUUCUAAGCAGUCACUCUGGCACGACUCAUGAGUACAACCCGCUAAAUCUCUGCAUGAGCGUCGUUGAAGUACAAUGCAAUACAUCACAUAAUAAAAAAAUAGUAAUACAAUCCAUAAAACAAAAAUAUUUGUUGAUAGAUUAAUUAAUUUCAAUAUUUGGAAACAUCAUGUAAAAUAUAAAUAAUGUUGCUUACUUGCUUGGCAAGACGGCAACGUUGAGAACAUGAAGACAACGACCAAUAAAGCAACAGCUAUGUUGUACAUGAUCAUCCUUGUGUUUCUCUUGAUGAGUUCCAUGAGGAAAAAUGUGACUUAUGUUCGAUCUUUGUUUUUCAUUUCCAAGCUCCUUUACAGGUGUUUAUAUAGACGCACAAUAAAAUCUUAGAUAUCAGUUGGUUAAUUUCAUGCAUUUAUGUACCUCCCCUAAUUAGUAUCAGCAUAUUUUGCUAGUUUUACAUAAAUACCAAAGAUUUUAUUUCACAAAAAAUAUAUGUUUCAUCAUUAUGGCAUUUAAUGUUGAAGAUAGCAUAUUGAGCCAAAAUAAAAUCUUUAGGUAUCGGCACUGCAUUUAUGUCUCCAUUAUAAAAUAGUACCCAUACCGAUCUUGUUGGCUAUUUUGUAUCAUCCACACUUAUGUAAGUAUAUCUUACAUUUAUUUUACAUUAUUGUUUGUGUGGUAUAUAGUUUUAGUAUAUACAGAGGCUUGCACAAUCAAAUCUUAUGCAUUGAUGAAUCUUGCAUAUACUUGAUCUCAAAAAUAAAUAUUGCUGGAGUACUCCAUACUCAUGAAUAUUAGUUAUCAAUAUUGCACUUUUUCUGCUAAAUUAAUGUUGAUGUAUCUUAUUGAAUCUUAAUAAAUAUCAUGCAAUCAUUUGUAUAUGUUAUGAUUAUUGAUAUUUUUUGCGGCAUUUAUUGACCUCUAUUAUAUGGUGGCAUGCAAAAUUAUUGAUAUUGCUUCUUUUCGCUUCAUUUGUAUUAUACAUUGCUAUAAAUUUUGCAUUUAUAUUCAAUCAACAAUAAAUAAAUGCUUGGACAAACGUAAGCUUGUACUUACUGACGAAUAUGCAGCCCGUUAGUAGCAACACCAUUGUAGUAAACAUUUCAGAGUUUUUCCCGUUAUGCUUAUAACCGGCUAUAAUAAUUGAUCUUUAAUGUUUCAUGCUUCAGGGUAUUUAUACAAAUGUCUCCCAUUUUAUUGAACAAAUGGAAGGGCACAACAACCAAGAUCUUUCUUGUGGGUCUUGCAUAAUUGGAAACUGAUUACAUGGUUUCAUGCUUAUGCACAUCUUAUUAUUCCUUAGUUAACGUAGGAUUUGCAGUACUUUAUGCUUGAGUUGAUGUAUGUCAUCUGAAUCAGAAUGGAGCCUGAACCAAAUUGUAUGACUCAUUUUCACUAGGUGCACAUACUGCUGCUCUUCUAUAUGGAAUGUGAUACUGGGGUAUUAAUACUUAGUGUUGCUAUCUCAGAUAUUGCUAAAAAAAAGUCUCCGGUUUUGUAACUUGGUACGCUCGAGUGGUGCAAUACUUUUCAACUAUUUGCACCUUUCAUUUAAAAACAUUGUAACCCAUUGACGCUGAAAAGUGGCACGAUCAUAAAGAGUAGCUUGAACUAUGUCAAGAUUAAUUCAGACUUAUUAUUGAAGUCACUAUGGGAUGGAUCUCUUCCAGAAGAUCAAAAUGGAUAUGAAGAUGGUCUAAAACAGAGCCCCGAUGCAGAAGUUGUGACAAGUUCAAAGAUUGGAUAUAGUAUCGACCCUACUAUCUCGGUAGGCGAACCGGGACUAAAGGCAUUAGGCUUUAGUACCGACCCUAUAGUCCCGGUUCCCGAACCGGGACAAAUGGGCGUUAUGAACCGGGACAAACGGGCCUUUUUCUACUAGUGCAUACUGGACCUACCCAAUAAAUAUUUCAGAAAUUCAUAAUAAUCCUAGAGGCUAGCUUGGACAAUUCACGCAUGUCAAGAGGUGGGACUAAAAUUUAGUCCCACAUUGCUAGUUGAGAGAGAGUUACACCUCCACAUAAGGUGAGCUCUUUCCCCACUUGUAUGAGCAUGAUAAAAAGAGAGAUUCUCACACGCUCCUCCCCUGCCGCCCGCCUUGCCUCAUCACGACACACUGCGUCGCGCCACGGGCUAUGGGAAUGCCUAGAGCAUGCAUGAAGCUGAGGUGUUUUGUUGAUGUAGUUAGUGGAGAUUGGUUACAAGGUUUGUUCGGCUUUGGCUGCUAUGUCUCCGUUUCCUGUCUCUUUGUUUCAUUUCCUGUCACAGCCUAUUUGCCUCCUCUUUCUGUGCUUAUAAAAUAGAGGUAUCUCCUCUCCAUAGACACACAUAAACAGAGCACCACUUGCCUCCUACUACCAUGUUCCAGAGCACUACGCUACCAGGUUCUUCUCCAUCCCGGCUUAUGGCGUGCAUCACCGAUAGGGACAGUAGGCCUCCGGAACCACGCGACAUUGAGUCAUGCACGGGUGAAGGGAAAUAAGGUGUUUGGGGAGCGCUCUGUGCGACUACUGGCUUCUCCACCCCAGAUGUCGCUACAGAUGUUGAAGACACUUUCCCCAAUGAUGACUUCUUUUAGGACAUCGGCAACCUCUUCGGUAACAAGGGAAAUAACAUCACGAAUGGCGCCGCCCCUGCUCCUGUCUAGGACAUGUUCACUUCUCCUCUAUUUAAUAUGUUUUUAUCCUAAUUUUAGUUCAAUUUCAUGUUCUAGCAAUUGGACUACAUAUGCCAUGUUCAAAUUCACUACUACAUAUGUUAUUUUCUCACUCUCUGAUAGACUACAUGUCUAGUUUAAUCUUUACUAUUAUGGUCAUGUUUUAUCUACUAUUUUUAUGGAUUAAAUCACAUGGUAAACUGCUCAUAUUUCCAACACGCCCCAUGUACAUGUAUGGGUGUAACAAACACAUCCUAUGAGGCCAGUCUCCCUUCAUCAAAAUGUUCCAUGGCAAUCCAAUGAGAUUGAUGCCUCUAAUACCUAUGUUUAUCAGAAAAUAUAAGUUUAUUCAAUUAUUGGCAUCAGUAUACAGCAUUGCAUUGCAUAAGCUAAGAAACUUUGUGGCUCUCAUUUUAAUAUGGAACCGAACUGUCUACAGCAGCACUGAAGAUGAUGCUGGUUGGUUUCGCAUUCCAAUUGAUAAGGUGGGCGAAAGCCUCUUUCUAAGCAGUCACUCUGGCAAGACUCAUGAGUGCAACCCACUAAAUCUCUGCAUGAGCGUCGUUGAACUACAAUGCAAUACAUCACAUAAUAAAAAAAUUAGUAAUACAGUCUAUAAAACAAAAAUAUUUGCUCAUAGAUUAAUUAAUUUCAACAUUUGGAAACAACAUGUAAAAUAUAAAUAAUGUUGCUUACUUGCUUGGCAGGACGGCAACGUUGAGAACAUGAACACAAUGACCAAUAAGGCAACAGCUAUGUUGUACAUGACAAUCCUUGUGUUUCUCUUGAUGAGGUGCCAUGAGGAAAAAUGUGACUUAUGUUCGAUCUUUGUUUUUCAUUUCCAUGCUCCUUUACAGGUGUUUAUAUAGACGCACAAUAAAAUCUUAGAUAUCAAUUGGUUGAUUUCAUGCAUUUAUGUACCUUCCCUAAUUAGUAUCAGCGUAUCUUGCUAGUUUUACAUAAAUACCAAAGAUUUUAUUUUGGAAAAAUAUAUAUAUUUCAUCAUUAUAGCAUUUAAUGUUGAAGAUAACAUAUUGAGCCAAAAUAAAAUCUUUAGGUAUCGGCACUACAUUUAUGUCUCCAUUAUAAAAUAGUACCCAUACCAAUCUUGUUGGCUAUUUUGUAUCAUCCACACUUAUGUAAGUAUAUCUUACAUUUAUUUUACAUUAUUUUUUGUGUGGUAUAUUGUUUUAGUAUAUACAGAGGCUUGCACAAUCAAAUCUUAUGCAUUGAUGAACCUUGCAUAUACAAGAUCUCAAAAAUAUAUAUUGCUGGAGUACUCCAUACUCAUGAAUAUUAGGUAUCAAUAUUGCACUUUUUCUGCUAAAUUAAUGUUGAUGUAUCUUACUGAAUCUUUAUAAAUAUCAUGCAAUCGUUUGUAUAUGUUAUAAUUAUUGAUAUUGUUUUUUGCGGCAUUUAUUGACCUCUAUUAUAUGGUGGCAUGUAUAAUUAUUGAUAUUGCUUAUUUUCGCUUCAUUUGUAUUAUACAUUGUUAUAAAUUUUGCACUUAUAUUCUAUCAACAAUAAAUAAAUGCUUGGACAAACGUAAGCUUGUACUUACUGACGAAUAUGCAGCCCGUCAGUAGCAACACCAUUGUAGUAAACAUUUCAGAGUUUUUCCCGUUAUGCUUAUAACCGGCUAUAAUAAUUGAUCUUUAAUGUUUCAUGCUUCAGGGUAUUAUACAAAUGUCUCCCAUUUUAUUGAACAAAUGCAAGGGCACAACAACCAAGAUCUUUCUUGUGGGUCUUGCAUAAUUGUAAACUGAUUACAUGGUUUCAUGCUUAUGCACAUCUUAUUAUUCCUUAGUUAAAGUAGGAUUUGUAGUACUUUAUGCUUGAGUUGAUGUAUGUCAUCUGAAGUAGAAUGGAGCCUGAACCAAGUUGUAUGACUUAUGUUCACUAGGUGCACAUACUGCUGCUCUUCUAUAUGGAAUGUGAUACUGGGGUAUUAAUACUUAGUGUUGCUAUCUCAGAUAUUGCUAAAAAAAUCUCCGGUUUUGUAACUUGGUACGCUUGAGUGGUGCAAUACUUUUCAACUAUUUGCAUCUUUAAUUUAAAAACAUUGUAACCCGUUGACGCUGAAAAGUGGCACGAUCAUAAAGAGUACCUUGAACUAUGUCAAGAUUAAUUCAGACUUAUUAUUGAAGUCACUAUGGGAUGGAUCUCUUCCAGAAGAUCAAAAUGGAUAUGAAGAUGGUCUAAAACAGAGCCCCGAUGCAAAAGUUGUGACAAGUUCAAAGAUUGGAUAUAGUAUUGACCCUAUAGUCUCGGUAGCCGAACCGGGACUAAAGGUAUUGGGCUUUAGUACCGACCCUAUAGUCCCGGUUCCCGAACCGGGAGAAGUGGGCCUUAUGAACCGGGACAAAUGGGACUUUUUCUACUAGUGCAUAUUGGACCUGCCCAAUAAAUAUUUCAGAAAUACAUAAUAAUCCUAGAGGCUAGUUUGGACCAUUCACGCAUGUCAAGAGGUGGGACUAAAAUUUAGUCCCACAUUGCUAGUUGAGAGAGAGUUACACCUCCACAUAAGGUGAGCUCUUUCCCCACUUUUAUGAGCAUGAUAAAAAGAGAGGUUCUCACACGCUCCUCCUUUGCCGCCCUUCUCGCCUCGCCUCGCCUCAUCACGACACACUGUGUCGCGCCACGGGCUGUGGGAAUGCCUAGAGCAUGCAUGAAGCUGAAGCGUUUUGCUGAUGUAGUUAGUGGAGAUUGGUUACGAGUUUUGUUCGGCUUUGGCUGCUACAUCUCCGUCUCCCGUCUCUUUGUUUCAUUUCCCGUCGCAGCCUACUGGCCUCCUCUUUCUGUGCUUAUAAAAUAGAGGUCUCUCCUCUCCAUAGACACACAGAAACAGAGCACCACUUGCCUCCUACUACCAAGUUCCAGAGCACUACGCUACCAGGUUCUUCCCCAUCCCGGCUUAUGGUGUGCACCGCCGAUAGGGACAGUAGGCCUCCAGAACCACGCGACAUUGAGUCAUGCACGGGUGAAGGGAAAUAAGGUGUUUGGGGAGCGCUCUAUGCGACUACUGGCUUCUCCACCCCAGAGGUCGCUACAGACGUCGAAGACACUUCCCCCAAUGAUGACUUCUUUUAGGACAUCGGCAACCUCUUCGGUAACAAGGGCGACAGCAUCACGAAUGGCGCCGCCCCUGCUCCUGUCUAGGACGUGUUCACUUCUUCUCUAUUUAAUAUGUUUUUCCUAAUUUUAGUUCAAUUUCAUGUUCUAGCAAUUGGACUAGAUAUGCCAUGUUCAAAUUCACUACUACAUAUGUUAUUUUCUCACUCUCUGAUAGACUACAUGUCUAGUUUAAUCUUUACUAUUAUGUUUAAGUUUUAUCUACUAUUUUUAUGGAUUAAAUCAUAUGGUAAACUGCUCAUAUUCCCAACAGGCCCCAUCUACAUGUAUGGGUGUAACAAACACAUCAUAUGUGGUCAGUCUUCCUUCAUCAAAAUGUUCCAUGGCAAUCCAAUAGGAUUGAUGCCUCUAAUACCAAUUUUUAUUAGAAAAUAUAAGUUUAUUCAAUUAUUGGCAUCAGUAUACAACAUUGCAUUGCAUAAGCUAAGAAACUUUGUGGCUCUCAUUUUAAUAUGGAACCGAACUGUCUACAACAGCACUGAAGAUGAUGCUGGUUGGUUUCGCAUUCCAAUUGAUAAGGUGGGCGAAAGCCUCUUUCUAAGCAGUCACUCUGGCAAGACUCAUGAGUGCAACCCGCUAAAUCUCUGCAUGAGCGGCGUUGAACUACAAUGCAAUACAUCACAUAAAAAAA
This 6530-nucleotide long non-coding RNA is filed under the name Triticum aestivum (bread wheat). Its description in RNAcentral is "long non-coding RNA (TAES_LNC010781)". Lineage: Eukaryota; Viridiplantae; Streptophyta; Magnoliopsida; Poales; Poaceae. The record is from RNAcentral.